Molecule: ribosomal RNA, 253 nt
Filed under: uncultured bacterium
Lineage: Bacteria
Description: partial 16S ribosomal RNA
Rfam family: Bacterial small subunit ribosomal RNA
Source: RNAcentral
GACGUAGGGCGCGAGCGUUGUCCGGAUUUAUUGGGCGUAAAGAGCUCGUAGGCGGCUUGUCGCGUCGACUGUGAAAACCCGCGGCUCAACCGCGGGCCUGCAGCCGAUACGGGCAGGCUAGAGUUCGGUAGGGGAGACUGGAAUUCCUGGUGUAGCGGUGAAAUGCGCAGAUAUCAGGGGGAACACCGAUGGCGAAGGCAGGUCUCUGGGCUAACACUGACGCUCAUGCACGAAAGCGUGGGGAGCAAACAGG